RNAcentral lists this ribosomal RNA (271 nucleotides) under Gammarus cf. leopoliensis RO04-05_2. RNAcentral describes it as "partial 16S ribosomal RNA". The record is from RNAcentral. Lineage: Eukaryota; Metazoa; Arthropoda; Malacostraca; Amphipoda; Gammaridae.
GCUAAGGUAGCAUAAUCAUUUGUUAUUUAAUUGAUAACUGGGAUGAAAGGUUAAACUAGCUUAUUAAGUUUGUUUAAUUAGAGAGAAAUUUAAAGUUAAGGUAAGAAUUCUUUAAUUUUCUAGGGGACGAUAAGACCCUAGAAGCUUGACAAACAGUUUUUUAGUUUUAGGCGGCAGUUUGUUUUACUGGGGCGGUAAAAAUAAUUAAGCUAUUUAUAAUUUAAAGGAUCCUUAAAAUAAAGAAAGAGUGGGUAAGUUACUCUAGGGAUAA